GUACUCGCUUCGGUGGUAUAUAUACUAAAGUUGGAAGGAUACAGAGAAGAUUAGCAUGGUCUUGAGCAAGGAUGACACACAAAAUCGUGAAACGUUCCAUAUUUUU
Molecule: small nuclear RNA, 106 nt
Filed under: Trichobilharzia regenti
Lineage: Eukaryota; Metazoa; Platyhelminthes; Trematoda; Strigeidida; Schistosomatidae
Source: RNAcentral